This is a small nucleolar RNA of Rhinopithecus bieti (black snub-nosed monkey), 150 nucleotides long. Its record names the gene SNORA70. It matches the Rfam family "Small nucleolar RNA SNORA70". Rfam says of the family: snoRNA U70 seems to be exclusive to mammals and is a member of the H/ACA class of snoRNA which contain H (ANANNA) and ACA box motifs. H/ACA box snoRNAs are involved in the conversion of uridines to pseudouridines (5-ribosyluracil) a constituent of structural RNAs (transfer, ribosomal, small nuclear, and small nucleolar). The record is from Ensembl. NCBI's taxonomy places the organism in Eukaryota, Metazoa, Chordata, Mammalia, Primates, Cercopithecidae.
CUGCAGCCAAUUAAGCCGACUGAGUUCCUUUCCUCAUGGGGGCCCAGUGUGCAAUGGCUGCAAACAGCAGCUUCCCUGGUAGUGAGCUUCCCUGGUAGUGAUGCAGCCUGUUUGUUGUGUGGGUUGCUCUAAGGGACCUUGGAGACAGUC